CUUGGGCGAUUGUAUACCAAAAACACAAGUCUCCACAAAGUUGUAAAGCCACGUAUUGGGACUGACGCCUGCCCAGUGCCGGAAGGUCAAGGAAGUUGGCACCUGAUGAUAGGGGAGCAGGUGACCGCAACCCCCCUAAACAACAGUUGUAACUAUGACGGUCCUAUGGUAGCGAAAUUUCUUGUCAGGUAAGUUCCAACCCUCACGAAAAGCGUAACGAUCUGGG
This 226-nucleotide non-coding RNA is filed under the name Nicotiana sylvestris (wood tobacco). RNAcentral describes it as "Bacterial large subunit ribosomal RNA". It matches the Rfam family "Bacterial large subunit ribosomal RNA", at positions 1791 to 2013 of the family's 2925-position model. The record is from Rfam by way of RNAcentral. Lineage: Eukaryota; Viridiplantae; Streptophyta; Magnoliopsida; Solanales; Solanaceae.